UCGAGAAUUUUUCUCAAUGGGGGAAACCCUGAAGGAGCGACGCCGCGUGGAGGAUGAAGGCUUUCGGGUUGUAAACUCCUGUCAUUUGGGAACAAGGCUCCGAACGUAACUGCUUCGGAGUUGAUAGUACCAGAAGAGGAAGAGACGGCUAACUCUGUGCCAGCAGCCGCGGUAAUACAGAGGUCUCAAGCGUUGUUCGGAUUCAUUGGGCGUAAAGGGUGCGUAGGUGGCGCUGUAAGUCGGGUGUGAAAUCCUGGGGCUUAACCUCAGAACUGCAUUCGAUACUGCGGCGCUUGAGGACUGGAGAGGAGACUGGAAUUCAUGGUGUAGCAGUGAAAUGCGUAGAGAUCAUGAGGAAGACCAGUGGCGAAGGCGGGUCUCUGGACAGUUCCUGACACUGAGGCACGAAGGCCAGGGGAGCAAACGG
This 427-nucleotide ribosomal RNA is filed under the name uncultured bacterium. Its description in RNAcentral is "bacterial SSU rRNA". It matches the Rfam family "Bacterial small subunit ribosomal RNA", at positions 355 to 775 of the family's 1533-position model. The record is from RNAcentral.